RNAcentral lists this ribosomal RNA (221 nucleotides) under uncultured bacterium. RNAcentral describes it as "partial 16S ribosomal RNA". It matches the Rfam family "Bacterial small subunit ribosomal RNA", at positions 129 to 334 of the family's 1533-position model. The record is from RNAcentral.
CCCUUCAGAGGGGGACAACAGUUGGAAACGACUGCUAAUACCGCAUACGAUCUGACCUCGGCAUCGAGGAUGGAUGAAAGGUGGCCUCUAUUUAUAAGCUAUCGCUGAAGGAGGGGAUUGCGUCUGAUUAGCUAGUUGGAGGGGUAACGGCCCACCAAGGCGAUGAUCAGUAGCCGGUCUGAGAGGAUGAACGGCCACAUUGGGACUGAGACACGGCCCAG